UUAAGUUCAGCGGGUAUCCCUACCUGAUCCGAGGUCAACCUGAAAAAAUUGGGGGUUGCUGGCAAGCACACACCCGGAUCUCCGAAGCGAGAAAAAUUACUACGCUUGAAGCCGAAUGGCACCGCCACUGAUUUUAAGGCCUGCCGAAACUCAGCAGGGCCCAAUACCAAGCAGAGCUUGAGGGUUGUAAUGACGCUCGA
This 200-nucleotide unclassified non-coding RNA is filed under the name Cleistothelebolus sp. Its description in RNAcentral is "partial internal transcribed spacer 2". The record is from RNAcentral. Lineage: Eukaryota; Fungi; Ascomycota; Leotiomycetes.